AGUGAACGCUGGCGGUAGGCCUAACACAUGCAAGUCGAACGGCAGCACAGUAAGAGCUUGCUCUUACGGGUGGCGAGUGGCGGACGGGUGAGGAAUACAUCGGAAUCUACUUUUUCGUGGGGGAUAACGUAGGGAAACUUACGCUAAUACCGCAUACGACCUACGGGUGAAAGCAGGGGAUCUUCGGACCUUGCGCGAUUGAAUGAGCCGAUGUCGGAUUAGCUAGUUGGCGGGGUAAAGGCCCACCAAGGCGACGAUCCGUAGCUGGUCUGAGAGGAUGAUCAGCCACACUGGAACUGAGACACGGUCCAGACUCCUACGGGAGGCAGCAGUGGGGAAUAUUGGACAAUGGGCGCAAGCUUGAUCCAGCCAUACCGCGUGGGUGAAGAAGGCCUUCGGGUUGUAAAGCCCUUUUGUUGGGAAAGAAAAGCAGCAGGUUAAUACCCCGCUGUUCUGACGGGACCCAAAGAAUAAGCACCGGCUAACUUCGU
Molecule: ribosomal RNA, 491 nt
Filed under: uncultured bacterium
Lineage: Bacteria
Description: partial 16S ribosomal RNA
Rfam family: Bacterial small subunit ribosomal RNA
Source: RNAcentral